GCUCAGUUUAUGUGUGGAUAUAAAAGCUGCUUGGAUAAUAAGCACGAAGACAUCUUGAGGAAGAAGAAGCCUGAAAUGCCCUUUCCGCGAUGACUGUCAAUCAUUUGGAAGAGAAACCAUGUGGAUGUAAAGAAGGUCAUCAGUGGGCAAGAAUUUUCAACCUAAGAAAGUUGGACUCGAAAAUUACAUCCAGAAUAUCCCUCCUUUCAAAGAUAUGAAGAAUGUCACAGUCAAAAGAAACUCUUUGUAUGUAAACAAUGUAAGAAUUCUUUUGUUCUUUCCAGUAUUCUAAAAGACCAUGGAAGAAUUCACACUGCUGUUUUCUAUCAACCCUAACGGUUCCUGUAGAAGCGAGCUCAAAAGCCAGUGAGAAGCUGCUCUCUGCAAUGUGAGAGACAACCAACAGGCCAGUUCCUGGUGCAUCUCUAAAUAAA
Myodes glareolus (Bank vole) is the source of this 434-nucleotide long non-coding RNA. RefSeq lists it as uncharacterized. NCBI's taxonomy places the organism in Eukaryota, Metazoa, Chordata, Mammalia, Rodentia, Cricetidae. The record is from RefSeq and is a predicted model, not a curated record.